UGGGGAAUAUUGGACAAUGGGGGCAACCCUGAUCCAGCAAUGCCGCGUGUGUGAAGAAGGUCUUCGGAUUGUAAAGCACUUUCGACGGGGACGAUGAUGACGGUACCCGUAGAAGAAGCCCCGGCUAACUUCGUGCCAGCAGCCGCGGUAAUACGAAGGGGGCUAGCGUUGCUCGGAAUGACUGGGCGUAAAGGGCGUGUAGGCGGUUUACACAGUCAGAUGUGAAAUCCCCGGGCUUAACCUGGGAGCUGCAUUUGAUACGUGUAGACUAGAGUGUGAGAGAGGGUUGUGGAAUUCCCAGUGUAGAGGUGAAAUUCGUAGAUAUUGGAAAGAACACCGGUGGCGAAGGCGGCAACCUGGCUCAUGACUGACGCUGAGGCGCGAAAGCGUGGGGAGCAAACAGGAUUAGAUACCCUGGUAGUCCACGCUGUAAACGAUGUGUGCUAGAUGUUGGGUAACUUUGUUAUUCAGUGUCGCAGUUAACGCGUUAAA
RNAcentral lists this ribosomal RNA (492 nucleotides) under uncultured bacterium. RNAcentral describes it as "partial 16S ribosomal RNA". It matches the Rfam family "Bacterial small subunit ribosomal RNA", at positions 355 to 864 of the family's 1533-position model. The record is from RNAcentral.